AUUGAACGCUGGCGGCAUGCUUUACACAUGCAAGUCGAACGGCAGCAUGAUCUAGCUUGCUAGAUUGAUGGCGAGUGGCGAACGGGUGAGUAAUACAUCGGAACGUGCCCUGUAGUGGGGGAUAACUAGUCGAAAGAUUAGCUAAUACCGCAUACGACCUGAGGGUGAAAGUGGGGGACCGCAAGGCCUCAUGCUAUAGGAGCGGCCGAUGUCUGAUUAGCUAGUUGGUGAGGUAAAGGCUCACCAAGGCGACGAUCAGUAGCUGGUCUGAGAGGACGAUCAGCCACACUGGGACUGAGACACGGCCCAGACUCCUACGGGAGGCAGCAGUGGGGAAUUUUGGACAAUGGGCGAAAGCCUGAUCCAGCAAUGCCGCGUGUGUGAAGAAGGCCUUCGGGUUGUAAAGCACUUUUGUCCGGAAAGAAAUGGCUCUGGUUAAUACCUGGGGUCGAUGACGGUACCGGAAGAAUAAGGACCGGCUAACUACGUG
This 490-nucleotide ribosomal RNA is filed under the name uncultured bacterium. RNAcentral describes it as "partial 16S ribosomal RNA". It matches the Rfam family "Bacterial small subunit ribosomal RNA", at positions 30 to 507 of the family's 1533-position model. The record is from RNAcentral.